RNAcentral lists this ribosomal RNA (889 nucleotides) under uncultured bacterium. RNAcentral's name for it is "bacterial SSU rRNA". It matches the Rfam family "Bacterial small subunit ribosomal RNA", at positions 8 to 878 of the family's 1533-position model. The record is from RNAcentral.
AGAGUUUGAUCCUGGCUCAGGACGAACGCUGGCGGCGUGCCUAAUACAUGCAAGUAGAACGCUGAAGAGAGGAGCUUGCUCUUCUUGGAUGAGUUGCGAACGGGUGAGUAACGCGUAGGUAACCUGCCUUGUAGCGGGGGAUAACUAUUGGAAACGAUAGCUAAUACCGCAUAACAAUGGAUGACACAUGUCAUUUAUUUGAAAGGGGCAAUUGCUCCACUACAAGAUGGACCUGCGUUGUAUUAGCUAGUAGGUGAGGUAACGGCUCACCUAGGCGACGAUACAUAGCCGACCUGAGAGGGUGAUCGGCCACACUGGGACUGAGACACGGCCCAGACUCCUACGGGAGGCAGCAGUAGGGAAUCUUCGGCAAUGGGGGCAACCCUGACCGAGCAACGCCGCGUGAGUGAAGAAGGUUUUCGGAUCGUAAAGCUCUGUUGUAAGUCAAGAACGAGUGUGAGAGUGGAAAGUUCACACUGUGACGGUAGCUUACCAGAAAGGGACGGCUAACUACGUGCCAGCAGCCGCGGUAAUACGUAGGUCCCGAGCGUUGUCCGGAUUUAUUGGGCGUAAAGCGAGCGCAGGCGGUUUGAUAAGUCUGAAGUUAAAGGCUGUGGCUCAACCAUAGUUCGCUUUGGAAACUGUCAAACUUGAGUGCAGAAGGGGAGAGUGGAAUUCCAUGUGUAGCGGUGAAAUGCGUAGAUAUAUGGAGGAACACCGGUGGCGAAAGCGGCUCUCUGGUCUGUAACUGACGCUGAGGCUCGAAAGCGUGGGGAGCGAACAGGAUUAGAUACCCUGGUAGUCCACGCCGUAAACGAUGAGUGCUAGGUGUUGGAUCCUUUCCCGGGAUUCAGUGCCGCAGCUAACGCAUUAAGCACUCCGCCUGGGG